CGAGGGGCAGCACAGGGUAGCAAUACUUGGGUGGCGACCGGCGCACGGGUGAGUAACGCGUAUGCAACUUACCUAUCAGAGGGGGAUAGCCCGGCGAAAGUCGGAUUAAUACCCCAUAAAACAGGGGUCCCGCAUGGGAAUAUUUGUUAAAGAUUCAUCGCUGAUAGAUAGGCAUGCGUUCCAUUAGGCAGUUGGCGGGGUAACGGCCCACCAAACCGACGAUGGAUAGGGGUUCUGAGAGGAAGGUCCCCCACAUUGGUACUGAGACACGGACCAAACUCCUACGGGAGGCAGCAGUGAGGAAUAUUGGUCAAUGGCCGAGAGGCUGAACCAGCCAAGUCGCGUGAAGGAAGAAGGAUCUAUGGUUUGUAAACUUCUUUUAUAGGGGAAUAAAGUGGAGGACGUGUCCUUUUUUGUAUGUACCCUAUGAAUAAGCAUCGGCUAACUCCGUGCCAGCAGCCGCGGUAAUACGGAGGAUGCGAGCGUUAUCCGGAUUUAUUGGGUUUAAAGGGUGCGUAGGUGGUGAUUUAAGUCAGCGGUGAAAGUUUGUGGCUCAACCAUAAAAUUGCCGUUGAAACUGGGUUACUUGAGUGUGUUUGAGGUAGGCGGAAUGCGUGGUGUAGCGGUGAAAUGCAUAGAUAUCACGCAGAACUCCGAUUGCGAAGGCAGCUUACUGAACCAUAACUGACACUGAAGCACG
This 700-nucleotide ribosomal RNA is filed under the name uncultured bacterium. RNAcentral's name for it is "bacterial SSU rRNA". It matches the Rfam family "Bacterial small subunit ribosomal RNA", at positions 63 to 755 of the family's 1533-position model. The record is from RNAcentral.